CCUACGGGGUGCUGCAGUGGGGAAUAUUGGACAAUGGGCGAAAGCCUGAUCCAGCCAUGCCGCGUGUGUGAAGAAGGCCUUCGGGUUGUAAAGCACUUUCAGUGGGGAAGAAAGCCUUGGGGCUAAUACCCUCGAGGAAGGACAUCACCCACAGAAGAAGCACCGGCUAACUCCGUGCCAGCAGCCGCGGUAAUACGGAGGGUGCGAGCGUUAAUCGGAAUUACUGGGCGUAAAGCGCGCGUAGGCGGUCUGAUAAGCCGGUUGUGAAAGCCCCGGGCUCAACCUGGGAACGGCAUCCGGAACUGUCAGGCUAGAGUGCAGGAGAGGAAGGUAGAAUUCCCGGUGUAGCGGUGAAAUGCGUAGAGAUCGGGAGGAAUACCAGUGGCGAAGGCGGCCUUCUGGACUGACACUGACGCUGAGGUGCGAAAGCGUGGGUAGCAAACAGGAUUAGAUACCCCUGUCGUC
This 465-nucleotide ribosomal RNA is filed under the name Vreelandella stevensii. Its description in RNAcentral is "partial 16S ribosomal RNA". It matches the Rfam family "Bacterial small subunit ribosomal RNA", at positions 338 to 795 of the family's 1533-position model. Lineage: Bacteria; Pseudomonadati; Pseudomonadota; Gammaproteobacteria; Oceanospirillales; Halomonadaceae. The record is from RNAcentral.